GUUAUUAUUACCUGAGACCCUGAAAGGAAGCACUAAAGAAAUGAAGACAGAGGAAUACCAGGAGAGAAAGGAGGUCCAGUUAGACCUAAAGGUGGGCAAGAAGAAGAAGAAGAGGAGUUUGGAUGCUUCAUCUCUGCUGAGACCCAGUGCCUGGCACUGAAGGUGCUCAGGAAAUACCUUCUGAAUGAUCGGAAGCCCCUGCCAUCUGCUAAACUGGAUCUAUGAUGACAGAAGCCGAGGAAUGUGAGGUUCAUCUAGAGAGUUCUUGUGAAUUUUCCAAGGGAGGCACCUGUUGAAUUCAGGCAUCGGCAUGUGACUUGAUUUGGUCAAUGAAAUGUGAGAGAAGUGACAUCCACUUUGAGGCAGGCACUUUCCGAGUUGCCCCGACGGCCACUCUCCAUACUGCUGCCAGAAGAACCUUGAAAUAUCGCUCUUUUUAAUUAAAAAGCAAAACUCUUCAA
RNAcentral lists this long non-coding RNA (461 nucleotides) under Homo sapiens (human). RNAcentral's name for it is "non-protein coding lnc-RPLP1-12:41". The record is from RNAcentral. Lineage: Eukaryota; Metazoa; Chordata; Mammalia; Primates; Hominidae.